GCGGGUGUAGCUCAGGGGUAGAGCACAACCUUGCCAAGGUUGGGGUCGAGGGUUCGAAUCCCUUCUCCCGCU
Molecule: transfer RNA, 72 nt
Filed under: endosymbiont of Acanthamoeba sp. UWC8
Lineage: Bacteria; Pseudomonadati; Pseudomonadota; Alphaproteobacteria; Holosporales; Holosporaceae
Rfam family: tRNA
About the family: Transfer RNA (tRNA) molecules are approximately 80 nucleotides in length. Their secondary structure includes four short double-helical elements and three loops (D, anti-codon, and T loops). Further hydrogen bonds mediate the characteristic L-shaped molecular structure. tRNAs have two regions of fundamental functional importance: the anti-codon, which is responsible for specific mRNA codon recognition, and the 3' end, to which the tRNAs corresponding amino acid is attached (by aminoacyl-tRNA synthetases). tRNAs cope with the degeneracy of the genetic code in two manners: having more than one tRNA (with a specific anti-codon) for a particular amino acid; and 'wobble' base-pairing, i.e. permitting non-standard base-pairing at the 3rd anti-codon position.
Source: Rfam by way of RNAcentral